AAUCAGUGGUGCGGGUAUUUUUGAAUCAACAUUUUGAAGUGUUCCCACACCUUAUAUAGGUUUUCUCCUUCCAUCUGUCUAAAGUCAACAAUCUCUCUUCUUAAUU
Gossypium hirsutum (cotton) is the source of this 106-nucleotide non-coding RNA. Lineage: Eukaryota; Viridiplantae; Streptophyta; Magnoliopsida; Malvales; Malvaceae. The record is from Rfam.